GCCCAGACUCCUACGGGAGGCAGCAGUGGGGAAUAUUGCACAAUGGGGGAAACCCUGAUGCAGCGACGCCGCGUGAGCGAUGAAGUAUUUCGGUAUGUAAAGCUCUAUCAGCAGGGAAGAAGAUGACGGUACCUGACUAAGAAGCCCCGGCUAACUACGUGCCAGCAGCCGCGGUAAUACGUAGGGGGCAAGCGUUAUCCGGAUUUACUGGGUGUAAAGGGAGCGUAGACGGCGAUGCAAGCCAGAUGUGAAAGCCCGGGGCUCAACCCCGGGACUGCAUUUGGAACUGUGUGGCUGGAGUGUCGGAGAGGCAGGCGGAAUUCCUAGUGUAGCGGUGAAAUGCGUAGAUAUUAGGAGGAACACCAGUGGCGAAGGCGGCCUGCUGGACGAUGACUGACGUUGAGGCUCGAAAGCGUGGGGAGCAAACAGGAUUAGAUACCCGCGUA
Molecule: ribosomal RNA, 446 nt
Filed under: uncultured bacterium
Lineage: Bacteria
Description: bacterial SSU rRNA
Rfam family: Bacterial small subunit ribosomal RNA
Source: RNAcentral